Molecule: ribosomal RNA, 276 nt
Filed under: uncultured bacterium
Lineage: Bacteria
Description: partial 16S ribosomal RNA
Rfam family: Bacterial small subunit ribosomal RNA
Source: RNAcentral
CCUACGGGGGGCAGCAGUCGGGAAUAUUGCGCAAUGGAGGAAACUCUGACGCAGUGACGCCGCGUAUAGGAAGAAGUUUUUCGGAAUGUAAACUAUUGUCGUUAGGGAAGAGAAAGGACAGUACCUAAGGAGGAAGCUCCGGCUAACUACGUGCCAGCAGCCGCGGUAAUACGUAGGGAGCGAGCGUUAUCCGGAAUUAUUGGGUGUAAAGGGUGUGCAGGCGGUUUUGCAAGGUGGAUGUGAAAGCCCCGGGCUUUACCUGGGAAAGCCAUACAU